RNAcentral lists this ribosomal RNA (253 nucleotides) under uncultured bacterium. RNAcentral's name for it is "partial 16S ribosomal RNA". It matches the Rfam family "Bacterial small subunit ribosomal RNA", at positions 524 to 776 of the family's 1533-position model. The record is from RNAcentral.
UACGAAGGGGGCUAGCGUUGUUCGGAAUCACUGGGCGUAAAGCGCACGUAGGCGGAUGUGCCAGUCAGGGGUGAAAUCCCGGAGCUCAACUUCGGAAUUGCCUCUGAUACAGCACGUCUUGAGUCCGGAAGAGGUGGGUGGAAUUCCUAGUGUAGAGGUGAAAUUCGUAGAUAUUAGGAAGAACACCGGUGGCGAAGGCGGCGAUCUGGGAAGAUACUGACGCUGAGGUGCGAAAGCGUGGGGAGCAAACAGG